AGUAGACAAUGGGCCGCAAGCCUGNUCUCGCGACGCCGCGUGAGGGAUGAAGGCCUUCGGGUUGUAAACCUCUUUUUUCAGGGAUGAAUAAUGACAGUACCUGGAGAAUAAGUCACGGCUAACUACGUGCCAGCAGCCGCGGUAAAACGUAGGUGGCUAACGUUAUCCGGAUUUACUGGGCGUAAAGCGUGCGUAGGUGGUUAGAUAAGUCAGAUGUAAAAUCUCCUGGCCUAACUGGGAGGGACCAUCUGAUACUGUUUAGCUUGAGUACAGAAGAGGAAAGUGGAAUUCCCGGUGUAGUGGUGGAAUGCGUAGAUAUCGGGAGGAACACCAGUGGCGAAAGCGGCUUUCUGGUCUGUUACUGACACUGUUGCACAAAAGCGUGGGGAGCAAACAGGAUUAGAUACCCUGGUAGUCCACGCUGUAAACUAUGAACACUGGGUACAGGGAGUAUCGACCCUUUCUGUGCCGAAGCUAACGCGUUAAGUGUUCCGUCUGAGGACUACGGCCGCAAGGUUAAAACUCAAAAAAAUUGACGG
Molecule: ribosomal RNA, 539 nt
Filed under: uncultured bacterium
Lineage: Bacteria
Description: bacterial SSU rRNA
Rfam family: Bacterial small subunit ribosomal RNA
Source: RNAcentral